CAUCUAGAUAGAUACUGAAUCACGUCCGUUUAUCAAAAAAUCUCACGAUGCCUUUUGCCUUCGAUUCGCAGAGUAAACGAAGGCAACCACUAUUAAAUUACGUAUCUGUCCUGAGCAAAUCCGUCGUUGAAAUUAACGAUCAUAGAAAGAUAAGAAGGGUAAGAAAGUUCCGAGAGCAAGAAUUGGGCUCAGAUCCGUUUUUUCUCCAGCAAACACGAUAAGGAUCGAGAAAUUGCUCCAGUGCUCUUCAAAAAAAAAAAUAUUCUCCAAUACUCCUCCUUUUUUUAAUGAUUUGUUAAAUUUUUAUUUAAAUAGAAAAAUUUGGUAAAAGAUAACGAAACCAAGAGAAACUUAGAUAAUUACAAUUCUACCUGGUACCAUCCAAACCCGAACCCAAUACCAACCCAACAAAAUUGGAUACCCACUUCGAGAAAUUGAAAUAUCGAAUAUAUUUUCCCUUUUUUCUCUUUAUUAUUUUUUUUAUCACAACCCCUUUCUUUUCCUUAUUGGUUGAAAAUUGAGGUUAAAAAGUAAAGUAAUAAAUGAACUUGUAAAAAGAAUAAUAAGGGCAAGGUUUCACUGUCUCUAACUCAUUUCUCCAUGUCUCGACCGUUCGCCUUUUUCUUGAAAUUCUGAAAACCCUAC
RNAcentral lists this long non-coding RNA (645 nucleotides) under Brassica napus (rape). Its description in RNAcentral is "long non-coding RNA (BNAP_LNC018275)". Lineage: Eukaryota; Viridiplantae; Streptophyta; Magnoliopsida; Brassicales; Brassicaceae. The record is from RNAcentral.